CCUGAUCCCAUCCCGAACUCAGUAGUGAAACGACGCAUCGCCGAUGGUAGUGUGGAGUUUCUCCAUGUGAGAGUAGGUCAUCGUCAAGC
Molecule: ribosomal RNA, 89 nt
Filed under: Pseudomonas sp. AU12215
Lineage: Bacteria; Pseudomonadati; Pseudomonadota; Gammaproteobacteria; Pseudomonadales; Pseudomonadaceae
Source: RNAcentral